CGGAGGGUGCAAGCGUUGUCCGGAUUUAUUGGGUUUAAAGGGUGCGUAGGCGGUCUUUUAAGUCAGUGGUGAAAUCCUGCAGCUCAACUGUAGAACAGCCAUUGAUACUGAAAGACUUGAGUACAGACGAGGUAGGCGGAAUUUAUGGUGUAGCGGUGAAAUGCAUAGAUACCAUAAAGAACCCCUAUUGCGAAGGCAGCUUACUAGGCUGUAACUGACGCUGAGGCACGAAAGCGUGGGGAUCAAACAGGAUUAGAUACCCUUGUAGUCCACGCCGUAAACGAUGAUUACUCGAUGUUCGCGACAUACAGUGAGCGUCCAAGCGAAAGCGUUAAGUAAUCCACCUGGGAAGUACGAUCGCAAGAUUG
This 368-nucleotide ribosomal RNA is filed under the name uncultured organism. RNAcentral describes it as "bacterial SSU rRNA". It matches the Rfam family "Bacterial small subunit ribosomal RNA", at positions 526 to 896 of the family's 1533-position model. The record is from RNAcentral.